ACGUAGGGGGCGAGCGUUGUUCGGAAUUACUGGGCGUAAAGAGCACGUAGGCGGGAACUUAAGUCAGGUGUGAAAGACCCAGGCUCAACCUCGGGGUGGCACUUGAAACUGGGUUUCUUGAGGGCAGGAGAGGAAGGUAGAAUUCCUGGUGUAGCGGUGAAAUGCGUAGAAAUGAGGAGGAAUACCGGUGGCGAAGGCGGCUUUCUGGACUGAUACUGACGCUGAGGUGCGAAAGCGUGGGUAGCAAACAG
Molecule: ribosomal RNA, 251 nt
Filed under: uncultured prokaryote
Description: partial 16S rRNA
Rfam family: Bacterial small subunit ribosomal RNA
Source: RNAcentral